UUCGGGUCGCCGGCGAGUGGCGAACGGGUGAGUAACGCGUAGAUACCUGUCCUAUGGUGGGGAAUAACGUUUAGAAAUGAACGCUAAUACCGCAUAAGCCCUGCGGGGGAAAGAUUUAUCGCCAUAGGAGGGGUCUGCGUCGGAUUAGCUUGUUGGUGGGGUAACGGCCUACCAAGGCGACGAUCCGUAGCUGGUCUGAGAGGAUGAUCAGCCACACUGGGACUGAGACACGGCCCAGACUUCUACGGGAGGCAGCAGUGGGGAAUAUUGCGCAAUGGGGGAAACCCUGACGCAGCGACGCCGCGUGGGUGAAGAAGGCCUUAGGGUUGUAAAGCCCUUUCAGUGGGAAAGAUGAUGACGGUACCCACAGAAGAAGCUCCGGCUAACUCCGUGCCAGCAGCCGCGGUAAUACGGAGGGGGCUAGCGUUGUUCGGAAUUACUGGGCGUAAAGGGCGCGUAGGCGGUUGAUCAAG
Molecule: ribosomal RNA, 473 nt
Filed under: uncultured Magnetococcus sp.
Lineage: Bacteria; Pseudomonadati; Pseudomonadota; Magnetococcia; Magnetococcales; Magnetococcaceae
Description: bacterial SSU rRNA
Rfam family: Bacterial small subunit ribosomal RNA
Source: RNAcentral